UACGUAGGGUGCAAGCGUUAAUCGGAAUUACUGGGCGUAAAGCGUGCGCAGGCGGUUAUGCAAGACAGAUGUGAAAUCCCCGGGCUCAACCUGGGAACUGCAUUUGUGACUGCAUAGCUGGAGUGCGGCAGAGGGGGAUGGAAUUCCGCGUGUAGCAGUGAAAUGCGUAGAGAUGUGGAGGAACACCGAUGGCGAAGGCAGCCCCCUGGGCUAACACUGACGCUCAUGCACGAAAGCGUGGGGAGCAAACAGG
RNAcentral lists this ribosomal RNA (253 nucleotides) under uncultured bacterium. RNAcentral's name for it is "partial 16S ribosomal RNA". It matches the Rfam family "Bacterial small subunit ribosomal RNA", at positions 524 to 776 of the family's 1533-position model. The record is from RNAcentral.